GACGAACGCUGGCGGCGUGCUUAACACAUGCAAGUCGAACGGAAAGGCCCUGCUUUUGUGGGGUGCUCGAGUGGCGAACGGGUGAGUAACACGUGAGUAACCUGCCCUUGACUUUGGGAUAACUUCAGGAAACUGGGGCUAAUACCGGAUAGGAGCUCCUGCUGCAUGGUGGGGGUUGGAAAGUUUCGGCGGUUGGGGAUGGACUCGCGGCUUAUCAGCUUGUUGGUGGGGUAGUGGCUUACCAAGGCUUUGACGGGUAGCCGGCCUGGGAGGGUGACCGGCCAAAAUGGGACUGAGAUGCGGCCCAGACUACUACCGGAGGGAACAGUGGGGAAUAGUGCACAAUGGGCGGAAGGCUGAUGCAGCAACGCCGCGUGGGGGAAGACGGGCUUCGGGUUGUAAACCGCUUUCGCCUGUGACGAAGCGUGAGUGACGGUAAUGGGUAAAGAAGCACCGGCUAACUACGUG
RNAcentral lists this ribosomal RNA (468 nucleotides) under uncultured bacterium. RNAcentral describes it as "partial 16S ribosomal RNA". It matches the Rfam family "Bacterial small subunit ribosomal RNA", at positions 28 to 507 of the family's 1533-position model. The record is from RNAcentral.